Long non-coding RNA from Salvelinus fontinalis (brook trout), 965 nucleotides. RefSeq lists it as uncharacterized. NCBI's taxonomy places the organism in Eukaryota, Metazoa, Chordata, Actinopteri, Salmoniformes, Salmonidae. The record is from RefSeq and is a predicted model, not a curated record. The transcript is spliced from 3 exons.
UUUUGGACUGGCCGGAGGAAUGACCACCAAGGAACGAUACUGUGUGGAGAAUACUAACAAAACUCCUGACAAAUGCCCUGGCCAUGAAGAUGAACUGGCGAGGGGCCAAUGGGAAGCAGGCAUUCGAACGGCUUGCCCUGAAAGGCAUAGUUCUCAUUUGUGGCUGAACGACGACAUGGAUAACAUACAUCUGGCGGGGAUUUCGCUGCAUCGGCAAGAUGGAACAGCUGCCUCCGGGGCUAUCUGCUGAAACCACCAUAGUACCAAAGCUUCUGAUGGUGAAAUUGAGAAAUACAUCAAGAGGUGAAAGCAGCUGACCUCUGACCGAGGCGUAGGAAAAAGAAGAGGGCCCACCCAAAACAGAAGAAGACCAGAGGAGAGAAGAUGACCAGAGUGGGGUAGAGGAGUGAUGUCAUCACACCCUACCCUACACACUGACAAUAACAGGGAACGCUGUCACCAUACCAAAACCAAUUUCGCUAAGUGGGAUGGCUCUUUGUGAUGUUCCUCAUCAGACUGUGGAGUAGAAAUCCUAUCAGUUCUUAAUUGGUCUCGGGAAAGUCAUGCUACUUUUAAUAUGUUAACCUGUGAGUGUUUAUUACCAGUGUAAUACUGUACCUUCUUAUUUCGAUAAAGAUGUGAUGUAAUGCUCAUUUUGCUGUUCAUUGUUUAAGGUUGUUACUAUCAGGAAUCAAAGUAAGACCCAGGUGCAGACCGUGUCGAAGUAACAAUGUUUAUUAUAGGAACAAGGGCAAGGGUACAGGACGGCAGGCAGGCUCAGGGUCAGGUCAGGCAGAGGUCGGUAAUCCAGAGGUGGGGCAAAGGUACAGGAUGGCAGGCAGAGUGGUCAGGUGGGGCGGGUACAGGGUCAGGACAGGAUGAGCAAAGAGAGACUGUGGAAAAGCAGAAGCUGAAUACAAAAACACUGGAUAACUUCACAAACAAGAUGAACUGGCAACAGACAA